RNAcentral lists this ribosomal RNA (253 nucleotides) under uncultured bacterium. RNAcentral describes it as "partial 16S ribosomal RNA". It matches the Rfam family "Bacterial small subunit ribosomal RNA", at positions 524 to 776 of the family's 1533-position model. The record is from RNAcentral.
UACGUAGGUGGCAAGCGUUGUCCGGAUUUACUGGGUGUAAAGGGCGUGCAGCCGGGAAGACAAGUCAGAUGUGAAAUCCCGCGGCUCAACCGCGGAACUGCAUUUGAAACUGUUUUUCUUGAGUACCGGAGAGGUCAUCGGAAUUCCUUGUGUAGCGGUGAAAUGCGUAGAUAUAAGGAAGAACACCAGUGGCGAAGGCGGAUAACUGGACGGCAACUGACGGUGAGGCGCGAAAGCGUGGGGAGCAAACAGG